Molecule: ribosomal RNA, 543 nt
Filed under: uncultured bacterium
Lineage: Bacteria
Description: bacterial SSU rRNA
Rfam family: Bacterial small subunit ribosomal RNA
Source: RNAcentral
AGUCAAUAGAUACCCAGGUAGUCCAUGCCGUAAACGAUGAUUGCUAGGUGUGGGGGGUCUGACCCCUUCCGUGCCGGAGUUAAACACAAUAAGCAAUCCACCUGGGGAGUACGGCCGCAAGGUUGAAACUCAAAGGAAUUGACGGGGGCCCGCACAAGCAGUGGAGUAUGUGGUUUAAAUUCGAAGCAACGCGAAGAACCUUACCAGGUCUUGACAUCCACCGAAUCCUGUAGAGAUACGGGAGUGCCCUUCGGGGAACGGUGAGACAGGUGGUGCAUGGUUGUCGUCAGCUCGUGUCGUGAGAUGUUGGGUUAAGUCCCGCAACGAGCGCAACCCUUGUGAAUAGUUGCUACGAAAGAGCACUCUAUUCAGACCGCCGUUGACAAAACGGAGGAAGGUGGGGAUGACGUCAAAUCAUCAUGCCCCUUAUGACCUGGGCUACACACGUACUACAAUGGCCGUUAACAGAGGGAUGCAAUGCCGCGAGGUGAGCGAACCCCUAAAAACGGUCUCAGUUCAGAUUGCAGGCUGAAACUCGCCUGC